AUAUCAAUAAGCGGAGGAAAAGAAACCAACAGGGAUUGCCUCAGUAACGGCGAGUGAAGCGGCAACAGCUCAAAUUUGAAAUCUGGCCCUUUCAGGGUCCGAGUUGUAAUUUGCAGAGGGUGCUUUGGUGUCGGCCGUGGUCUAAGUUCCUUGGAACAGGACGUCACAGAGGGUGAGAAUCCCGUACGUGGCCGCCGGUCUUCACCGUGUAAAGCCCCUUCGACGAGUCGAGUUGUUUGGGAAUGCAGCUCUAAAUGGGAGAUACAUUUCUUCUAAAGCUAAAUAUUGGCCAGAGACCGAUAGCGCACAAGUAGAGUGAUCGAAAGAUGAAAAGCACUUUGGAAAGAGAGUCAAAAAGCAC
RNAcentral lists this ribosomal RNA (361 nucleotides) under uncultured fungus. Its description in RNAcentral is "eukaryotic LSU rRNA". It matches the Rfam family "Eukaryotic large subunit ribosomal RNA", at positions 40 to 398 of the family's 3401-position model. Lineage: Eukaryota; Fungi. The record is from RNAcentral.